RNAcentral lists this ribosomal RNA (520 nucleotides) under uncultured Glomus. RNAcentral describes it as "SSU rRNA". It matches the Rfam family "Eukaryotic small subunit ribosomal RNA", at positions 569 to 1092 of the family's 1831-position model. Lineage: Eukaryota; Fungi; Glomeromycota; Glomeromycetes; Glomerales; Glomeraceae. The record is from RNAcentral.
AGCAGCCGCGGUAAUUCCAGCUCCAAUAGCGUAUAUUAAAGUUGUUGCAGUUAAAAAGCUCGUAGUUGAAUUUCGGGAUCAAUUUAUUGGUCGUGCUAUUGUACGUACUGGUAUUAUUGAUUCCUACCUUCUGACGAACCACGAUGUCAUUAAUUUGGUGUCAUGGGGAAUCAGGACCGUUACUUUGAAAAAAUUAAAGUGUUUAAAGCAGGCUCACGCUUGAAUACAUUAGCAUGGAAUAAUGAAAUAGGACGUUUGAUUCUAUUUUGUUGGUUUCUAGGAUCGACGUAAUGAUUAAUAGGGAUAGUUGGGGGCAUUAGUAUUCAAUUGUCAGAGGUGAAAUUCUUGGAUUUAUUGAAGACUAACUACUGCGAAAGCAUUUGCCAAGGAUGUUUUCAUUAAUCAAGAACGAAAGUUAGGGGAUCGAAGACGAUCAGAUACCGUCGUAGUCUUAACCAUAAACUAUGCCGACUAGGGAUCGGAUGAUGUUAAUUUUUAAUGACUCAUUCGGCGCCUUAAC